This is a non-coding RNA of Danio rerio (zebrafish), 2823 nucleotides long. The record is from RefSeq and is a predicted model, not a curated record. NCBI's taxonomy places the organism in Eukaryota, Metazoa, Chordata, Actinopteri, Cypriniformes, Danionidae.
AAAUGCAAAACACCAUUUGCAAAUAUAUAAGAGUGUACAAAAAGUUUUGAAUGUUUAAAAUUCACGAGUUCAUCCUGAAUGAGAAUGUGCAAAUCCUCUCUCACGUACGACUCACCCUGAAUACGAGUGUGUGCAUUUUUGAGACUUUCCUGUCAGCACACACCUCCCACGUGAGUCACUCGUGCCCUGUAGCCAAUAAGAUGCGAGCUUACUGUUCAACCAAUCACAACUCCCUGAGAACGCGGGAAUGACCGAAGCGCUUCACUGUGCGCUCCAUUUGCGCAGUCUGACCUAAUUAACGGAGAUGAUCCUCUAAGAAGAAGAAUACUCCUCUAUUUAGCAUGGCAGGUGAAGAGCGGGAUGCGCGGGUAAGUGGUUACUUGAUUUCUAUAGUGGUUUAUGUAUGCAAAGAUUAAGUAUCAAACGUUUGUUAAAGCAAUGGCUGCUGUUGUUUAUAAUGUAAACUUUAUAACGUAAAUUAAGUCCGUUAUUAAGCCAACAUGGCGAGUGAAAAACGGGAUGGUCGUGUAAAAUAGCAUGGCUUCUGUCAUGGUCGAUUCUAGGAUUGUCAUUCAAGGAGGGGUCAGCUAUAAAUUUGAUCGGGGACUAAUUUGGGGGUGGAAUCGAUCGCGUACUAAAGUGAAGACCGGGAGAGCGUAAUGCCGUUUUGGGUGUGGGUGGGUAUGGGGGGUGGAGAGAGGAGAUGAUCGCCGACUGUAAGGAACGGGCGGGGUGGGGGUCGGCAGUGUUGAUCGCGGACUAUGAAGAUAACAAAUGAUAAAAGGUAUAAUUGGUAUUUGUCUUACAGGCACUGUCAUUAGAAGUAGAAAUAGCAGCAAAAGCUCUGAUCGAUGUAUUAGCCAGGGGCCUUACUCCAUCUUCGUAAAGAAAUGCACUAGCAAGUGGUAGUAGACCAAUGAGAGAAAGCAUCUCAAGUGGGACCAUUCCUUUGCCUGCAGAGCCUGAAAACAUGGUAAGGCAAGCCUUAAAAAGGUAAUUUUUCAUGUUUACUGUAAAACACAACUUUUUGUGUCAUGCAAAAAAUGUUUCUUAUUAUUAAUAUGUUUAUUCAUUUUGCCCUUUUGUCACUAUGGGCAAUUCCCAAGUAUGUUUGGGACAGAGAUUUUUCUGUGGCCAAACCUGGAAACAUUUAAAAAACUGAUUUUCAAAUACAUGUCCUCUCUAAACCAUCACCCUUCACACCAAAAGGAGAUGAAGACCUUGAGCUUGUCCAUGCUGGACUUGGAAAAAGGCUUUUAACUGUUCCAGAUAAUUUUAAACACAGUGAGAUUGUCAGUCUGCUUGAAGGAGAGUUUCCCAAAUUAAAAACACUUCAGGGUGGCUGGAUGUUUUACAAGUCUACAGGUAUUUAUGUUUUGCAUGUUACAUAUAAACAAAAAAUGAUUUGUGUGCAUUUGCAAUAACUUUGCACUUUUGUAAAUUAAUGAAACUGGUAUGUGCUUUGUUGGCGUUAAUAAUUUAGUAAUAAGCUUCAUUAGUUUAAACUUUUUAGUCAAGGACAUGUUUCUUUGCCAUGUUCUAAGAUUAUGGCAUGCCCUACUUCAGUUUUCCAGUGGUAAACAGAGCUUUAUAGAACAUUUCUGUCCAAAAUUUUAGGUGACACAUUUAUAACAAUAUUGCUAGCCCAAGAAGGCAACAGUAGUCCUGAAUGUGAUUCUCAAUUGAUUUUGCCAUUAGGUGGGGGUGGGGGUGGGCGGCGUAAGCUGUCUAUAAUUCCCACAGAUGCUGAUGGAUACUCAACUCGACUCCUAAAAUCAGUGUCAAAUAAUGGAAAGAACAUGCUGUUUGUAGUUCCAUUACAGGAACAGCUUUCCACUGAACCAUUACCUUAUGAUUCUGUGGAGUUUGCUAAGAUGCCACAGUCCAGCUGUAUGAAAUGUGGUAAGAAAAUACCACUGCCAUUGCUGCCCUUACACAUUGAAGAGUGUAAAGAAGCUGAGACAGUAAGUCAUACAGUAUUAUGGUUUUAUUGUUCUAUCAAUAUUAUUUAUUUACAAUGCCAAUGCAUUUUGAUUACUUUUAUUAGGAGUCUUCAAAUGAUUUGACCAUUCUAGAUGAUGAUGUAGACGAAAAUGUAAUCGAAACUGUUGACCAGCCAAGCCCACUUCACCCCAUCUUAGAACCAUCAUUACAGAUUUGUCCAAUUUGCCAGAUCUCUUUCCCAACUGAUGUCUUGCCUUUUCAUGCAAGCAUGUGUGGUGAAGGGUAAAGUUAUGCUAAAAAUUGUAGGGUGACAUGCCUUUAAUACUAAAGGAUUAGUUUGCACAGUUUGUUUUGGUUGUAUAUAUCUCGAGGGAGAUGUACAAAGAUCAGAUGGAAUGUAGGGUAAAAAAUUAACAAAAUAAUUUUCUGGUGGACUGUCUUAAAUUUAAAUUAAUGUGUUGGUUUCAUAAACUGGGUCAGUAGUAGACAUUAUUAGAUUUGAUGUAUGUAGCUUUUAUAAGCCUUGCUUUGAGAAAAUCAUUACUGGUGACUUUUGACAUUAAUGGCUAUAUACAGUAUGUCAUUGUAAGUUACAUCCAGACUUUGUCUGGCACUAGGGUCUAAGCCUUGUCUAUGAAACUGGGCAAAUGCUUUUAAUAUGCAUGAACAUUUUUGAAGUGGCUUAAUGAACAAAAUUGAAAUUGUUUGUGUCUUGCCUGUUUUAGAGAAAGGACUUUUGGUGACAAUGAUUCUUCAUUCACUUUAAAUACAGAAGAAUUGCCAGGACCCUCAACUGCACAAUCUUCAACAUCAUUGUCUGCAGGUUAGACACAACACAUUUUUUUUUUUUCAAGAGUUCACACUUAGCUGAUAAUCAAU